GGGCAUGUGGUUUAGUGGUAUAACAUUCGCUUAGCAUAUGGCUUGCGAAAGGUCCGGCGUUCAAUUCGCCGCUUGUCCA
This is a non-coding RNA of Ramaria rubella, 79 nucleotides long. The record is from the annotation of a GenBank genome assembly. Lineage: Eukaryota; Fungi; Basidiomycota; Agaricomycetes; Gomphales; Gomphaceae.